RNAcentral lists this ribosomal RNA (657 nucleotides) under Triticum aestivum (bread wheat). RNAcentral's name for it is "partial small subunit ribosomal RNA". Lineage: Eukaryota; Viridiplantae; Streptophyta; Magnoliopsida; Poales; Poaceae. The record is from RNAcentral.
AUGAUUCCCCUCUCUGAUCAGGAAAUUUGGGAUAUAGUUAACUCUGCUAACCCGAAUGCUGCCUUCGGGCCAGACGGCUUCUCUAUUCCUUUCUUUCGGAAAUUCUGGCCUCAGUUAACGCAGCUAGUGUGCAAUGUUAUCCAGGGUUUUUGCCAUGGCACUAUCGAUAUCUCCCACUUGAAUUACGCCGUCAUUUCUCUGAUCCCCAAGGUCAAGGGUGAUGAACUAAUUUCUUAAUUACGUCCUAUUGCUUUGAUUAAUAACUUCGCCAAAUUUCUGGCUAAGGGCUAUGCUAACCGCCUAUCCCCUGUUGCUCAUAGAGUUAUUAGCCCCUUCCAAUCUGCUUUUAUUAAGGGUCGUUUUAUCUUAGAUGGCAUCCUUCCUUUGCAUGAAAUUGUGCACGACCUGCACUCUCGGAAUUCUAAAGCGAUUAUUCUUAAGUUAGAUUUUGAGAAAGCCUAUGACUCGGUAAGUUGGUCAUUUCUUAAGCAGGUCCUGCUUGCAAAAGGUUUUGACGGAGCUUACGUGCAUCGUAUCAUGCAUUUGGUCUCGGGUAGCCAUACUGCCUGUCGGUGGGAACAACACCUAUGGGAUCACAAGAAUCCCUACUACGGUUGCGGGGCGCGGGGUCGUGAGAAGAGCGGAUCAAACAGAUAG